AUGAAUGUUGAUGCAGCAGUGGCCCGUCAUCGACAUGGGGGAGCGGUGUCAGCAGUGUGCAGGGAUCAUACAGGGCUAUACAUGGGAUCAUCGGCACUAGUGAUCCAGGGCAUUUCCGACCCAACGAUGCUGGAGACGUUUGCGUGCAGGGAAGCACUGGCCCUGGCGGAGGAUCUCGGCGUUUCAAGCUUAGUGGUGGCAUCGGACUGUCUUGGAGUGAUCAGAGACAUCAACCUGGGAACAUGCAGCGGUGGUACAUGA
This 261-nucleotide ribosomal RNA is filed under the name Triticum aestivum (bread wheat). RNAcentral describes it as "partial small subunit ribosomal RNA". Lineage: Eukaryota; Viridiplantae; Streptophyta; Magnoliopsida; Poales; Poaceae. The record is from RNAcentral.